AGGAAGGUAGUGUAGUUAACACCUGCAUUAUUUGACGUUACCUACAGAAGAAGCACCGGCUAACUCCGUGCCAGCAGCCGCGGUAAUACGGAGGGUGCGAGUGUUAAUCGGAAUUACUGGGCGUAAAGACGCAUGCAGGCGGCCUCGUUAAGUCAGAUGUGAAAGCCCGGGGCUUAACCUCGGAAUUGCAUUUGAAACUGGCAGGCUAGAGUCUUGUAGAGGGGGGUAGGAAUUUCAGGUGUAGCGGUGAAAUGCGUAGAGAUCUGAAGGAAUACCAGUGGCGAAGGCGGCCCCCUGGACAAAGACUGACGCUCAGAUGCGAAAGCGUGGGGAGCAAACAGGAUUAGAUACCCUGGUAG
Molecule: ribosomal RNA, 359 nt
Filed under: uncultured bacterium
Lineage: Bacteria
Description: bacterial SSU rRNA
Rfam family: Bacterial small subunit ribosomal RNA
Source: RNAcentral